AUUAAAACUGUGAAGAGAAGAGUAGAUACACAGCUAAGUCCUAGCGAGCUGGUUAUGGUGAGAGUCCAGCACAAAGCUUGUAUUGAAGAACGUCUCUGAGUUUCUAACCGAAAGCCAUGUGUUUUAUUAAUAUGGGUGAGUAGACUUAGACGGAGCCAAACCGUUAUUAAUUGGGCGAUAUCGAAUAGAAAUAUUUCUAUUCUGUAUUUGUUGAGUGAGCAAUACUAUGCUAAUCUGGGUGGUACCGCGGAAAAUGAGCCUUUCGUCCCUUUA
Molecule: non-coding RNA, 273 nt
Filed under: Maledivibacter halophilus
Lineage: Bacteria; Bacillati; Bacillota; Clostridia; Peptostreptococcales; Caminicellaceae
Description: Clostridium halophilum T-box sequence
Rfam family: T-box leader
About the family: Uncharged tRNA acts as the effector for transcription antitermination of genes in the T-box leader family. T-boxes are found upstream of many aminoacyl-tRNA synthetase genes and some amino acid biosynthetic genes usually in Gram-positive bacteria.
Source: RNAcentral